GAUGAACGCUGGCGGCGUGCCUAACACAUGCAAGUCGAGCGGACGGACGAGAAGCUUGCUGUUCUGAUGUUAGCGGAGGACGGGAGAGUAACACGUGGAUAACCCACCUAUAAGACUGGGAUAACUUCGGGAAACCGGAGCUAAUCCGGGAUAAUCUCUUGAACCGCAUGGUUCAAGAGUGAAAGACGGUCUUGCUGUCACUUAUAGAUGGAUCCGCGCUGCUUUAGCUAGUUGGUAAGCUAACGGCUUACCAAGGCAACGAUGCAUAGCCGACGUGUGAGGGUGUUCGGCCACACUGGAACUGUGACACGGUCCAGGCUCCUACGGGAGGCAGCGGUAGGGACUCUUCGGCACUGGGGGGAAGCCUGAAGGAGCAGCGCCGCGUGAGUGAUGAAGGUCUUCGGAUCGUAAAACUCUGUUAUUAGGGAAGACCAUAUGUGUAAGUAACUGUGCACAUCUUGACGGUACCUAAUCAGAAAGCAACGGCUAACUACGUG
RNAcentral lists this ribosomal RNA (497 nucleotides) under uncultured bacterium. RNAcentral describes it as "partial 16S ribosomal RNA". It matches the Rfam family "Bacterial small subunit ribosomal RNA", at positions 28 to 507 of the family's 1533-position model. The record is from RNAcentral.